RNAcentral lists this ribosomal RNA (301 nucleotides) under uncultured bacterium. RNAcentral describes it as "partial 16S ribosomal RNA". It matches the Rfam family "Bacterial small subunit ribosomal RNA", at positions 509 to 807 of the family's 1533-position model. The record is from RNAcentral.
CAGUAGCCGCGGGAACACGGAGGAUCCAAGCGUUAUCCGGAAUCAUUGGGUUUAAAGGGUCCGUAGGCGGUCUUGUAAGUCAGUGGUGAAAGCCCAUCGCUCAACGGUGGAACGGCCAUUGAUACUGCAGGACUUGAAUUAUUGGGAAGUAACUAGAAUAUGUAGUGUAGCGGUGAAAUGCUUAGAGAUUACAUGGAAUACCAAUUGCGAAGGCAGGUUACUACCAAUUGAUUGACGCUGAUGGACGAAAGCGUGGGUAGCGAACAGGAUUAGAUACCCCCGUAGUCCCUGUCUCUUAUAC